This 728-nucleotide ribosomal RNA is filed under the name Ommatogammarus flavus. RNAcentral's name for it is "bacterial SSU rRNA". It matches the Rfam family "Eukaryotic small subunit ribosomal RNA", at positions 1255 to 1828 of the family's 1831-position model. Lineage: Eukaryota; Metazoa; Arthropoda; Malacostraca; Amphipoda; Ommatogammaridae. The record is from RNAcentral.
CUCUUUCUCGAUUCAGUGGAUGGUGGUGCAUGGCCGUUCUUAGUUGGUGGAGUGAUCUGUCUGGUUAAUUCCGAUAACGAACGAGACUCUCCCCUGCUAACUAGUCGGUUGGAUCUUGAUCAGUGGGUUGAGUGCCGAGUAACUCUCGCUGUGCGUGGUGUGCGUCUCGUUCCUCACGGUUCGUUGCGUGCUCAUGUGUGGCGUUGGAUGCCUUGGAUCACACUGCACCCCAAGUCCGCCGCUUUGCUAUAACUCUUCUUAGAGGGAUUCACGGCACUGAAGCCGUAAGAGACUGAGAGCAAUAACAGGUCUGUGAUGCCCUUAGAUGCUCUGGGCCGCACGCGCGCUACAAUGCCGGGCACAGCAGGUGUUUCUCCUGCUCCGACAGGAGCGGGUAACCCUCUGAAAGCCAGUGUUCUUGCAAGUGCUUCCUCCCUCGUGGAGUUGCACAGAGGCGUGCUUGGGCCUGGGACUUGCAAUUCUUUCCCACCAACGAGGAAUGCCUAGUAGCGGCGGGUCACUGAGCCCGCUGUGACUCAGUCCCUGCCCUUUGUACACACCGCCCGUCGCUACUACCGAUUGGGUGUACCAGUGAGAGCCUUGGACUGGCGUCCGUUGUUGCUCGCAAGAGUGACAAGCGGGUCCGACGGAAAGAGGUCCGAACUGGUGCACUUAGAGGAAGUAAAAGUCGUAACAAGGUUUCCGUAGGUGAACCUGCGGAAGGAUCA